This 338-nucleotide long non-coding RNA is filed under the name Citrus maxima (pomelo). Its description in RNAcentral is "long non-coding RNA (CMAX_LNC002480)". Lineage: Eukaryota; Viridiplantae; Streptophyta; Magnoliopsida; Sapindales; Rutaceae. The record is from RNAcentral.
CAUGAAUUGCAUAAACCAUCCAAACAAUCCCUUGAUGAAAAGCCAGUUUAGAGCUUCUGGAGUAAACCUGGGAGGAAAAAUUAAAAUUGUUGCAGGAAAUGUACCACAAUAUUAAGGACAAGAGCUAACCACAACAACUAAAAAGGAAGUCAUUUAACUGGGACAAUUUUUUCAGACACCAUUUGAAAAAAGGUCAUUUAACUGGGACAAUUUUUUCAGACACCAUUUGAAAAAGUAAUUUAUGUUUACAGUGAGACCUCAACUCAUACUCUUUCAGUUGCCUAUAAGCCACAAGCAUAUGAGUUAUGUCUAUAAAAAGUUUACUUCGAAUUUUCACA